Molecule: long non-coding RNA, 239 nt
Filed under: Volvox carteri
Lineage: Eukaryota; Viridiplantae; Chlorophyta; Chlorophyceae; Chlamydomonadales; Volvocaceae
Description: long non-coding RNA (VCAR_LNC001104)
Source: RNAcentral
GUGAUUUAUAAGAAUGGUUGUAAAGCCAUCCACAUCUCAUUCACACUUUUCGAGUCGCGACGAUCGCAUCAGCAGGCGAGCGAAUCGGCGACAACUACGUACCUGAACGGUCUGGCUCGUCGUAAUGCUUUUCCAUCAUAGCCACAUGGCGCAAAAGUUAACGUCUAUCAAAAGAUAUAAUAUACUGUUAUGAAUUGCAUGCGCUGCUAUUCGGGCAUGUAUCGCCGCUGGACGCAGCG